RNAcentral lists this ribosomal RNA (253 nucleotides) under uncultured bacterium. RNAcentral's name for it is "partial 16S ribosomal RNA". It matches the Rfam family "Bacterial small subunit ribosomal RNA", at positions 524 to 776 of the family's 1533-position model. The record is from RNAcentral.
UACGUAGGGUGCAAGCGUUGUCCGGAAUUAUUGGGCGUAAAGAGCUCGUAGGCGGUCUGUCGCGUCGGCUGUGAAAUCCCGAGGCUCAACCUCGGGUCUGCAGUCGAUACGGGCAAACUAGAGUAUUGCAGGGGAGACUGGAAUUCCUGGUGUAGCGGUGAAAUGCGCAGAUAUCAGGAGGAACACCGGUGGCGAAGGCGGGUCUCUGGGCAAUAACUGACGCUGAGGAGCGAAAGCGUGGGUAGCGAACAGG